Molecule: ribosomal RNA, 498 nt
Filed under: uncultured bacterium
Lineage: Bacteria
Description: partial 16S ribosomal RNA
Rfam family: Bacterial small subunit ribosomal RNA
Source: RNAcentral
AUUGAACGCUGGCGGCAUGCCUUACACAUGCAAGUCGAACGGUAACAGGUCUUCGGAUGCUGACGAGUGGCGAACGGGUGAGUAAUACAUCGGAACGUGCCUAGUAGUGGGGGAUAACUACUCGAAAGAGUGGCUAAUACCGCAUGAGAUCUACGGAUGAAAGCAGGGGAUUGCAAGACCUUGUGCUACUAGAGCGGCCGAUGGCAGAUUAGGUAGUUGGUGGGAUAAAAGCUUACCAAGCCGACGAUCUGUAGCUGGUCUGAGAGGACGAUCGGCCACACUGGGACUGAGACACGGCCCAGACUCCUACGGGAGGCAGCAGUGGGGAAUGUUGUACAAGGGGCGAAAGCCUGAUCCAGCAAGGCCGCGUGCAGGAUGAAGGCCUUCGGGUUGUAAACUGCUUUUGUACGGAACGAAAAGCCCCGGGUUAAUACCCUGGGGUCAUGACGGUACCGUAAGAAUAAGCACCGGCUAACUACGUGCCAGCCGCCGCCGUAA